This is a long non-coding RNA of Chrysemys picta bellii (western painted turtle), 2117 nucleotides long. RefSeq lists it as uncharacterized. The record is from RefSeq and is a predicted model, not a curated record. Lineage: Eukaryota; Metazoa; Chordata; Testudines; Emydidae.
UUUUCCUCCCUCACUCCUUGAAGCCCCCAGAAUAUGAAAACAAUAGCACUUAAGUCAAAAUUUCAUACCCAGGAUGUUCAAGUUCAUAAGUGUGGAAAAAGGAAGUCUGCCUUUUCUGCUAAAUGAUAAUGAAUGGGAUGGAGUAAACUGGGAUUUUUUUAUUUCUAACGACAUUUUGCUGGGGUUCAUGGCUCCUUUUCAACAAGCUAUACAAGUAAUUUGAUAAGAUGGCUGGUACCAAGCCAUGCUGAAAAGGAAGAGAAGCUAUAGAGAAUAUGGUCAAAUACUUGAGAAUUUCUUAAAUGUUAUUAAAACCACUACAAAUUAGAGUGAUGAUUAUUUCACUCCGUUCUAGGGAGGUGUGAUUUUCUGCAGGCCUGUGUGUGCGUGUUGUGCCGUGUGAGUGUUAAUGGUCUUCUGGCUCUUUAAGAAGAUUUCUGCACUGUGGUUAUUUGGCAGUGUGCUUUAGCCAGUAACUAGUGUGGGGAGGUUUGUACUUUUCUGACAGCUCAUAAGCAGCAGAAGAGGCUUCUAAUGCUCUUUCUUUGCUGUGAGAGGAAAGGGUCUGCUGAUAAUUGUCCGAGAUUUCAAUCUGAUGGUACUCCAGAAAAUAAUGAGGAUCAGGGGUUGGCUGAUUGGGCAUGGAAGAAGCAGCCUUAUUGUGGCUCUCCUGUGGGCAGCAUUGGGAAUAAAAGCUGCAGGAUGUGACAUGCUUGAAAUCAAAUACCCAUCAGCCCGCCUUAAGCUUAAAGAAGGAGAUCCCCUGACCUUGAAUUGCACAGUGUGGUAUGAACAGGAACAGGAACAGAAACAGUCUUCAGAUCUGAAGGUCUACUGGUGUAAAUGGGUGGAAAAUCAGAGCAGCUGUGCUAGGGUUGGCGAAGAGCUGGAACGCUUGCUAUCAACAAUGAGCUUAAAUCCCCAAGCAAGGGUCAGCUUGUCUCUGCUCCUGGAGAUUCAUAAUGUCAGCCGUUCAGACAGCGGUGGUUACCAGUGCAGAGCCAGUGCAAAUAACCAGAUUGCUAUCGGUCACUAUAUCCGAGUGGAAGUAACAGCUGCCUUCUCUGUGGUUUAAGAAAGCCGCUGUGGUUUGAGUUUACAGUGAGACAGUUCUGCCAAGUGUUUUUACUUACCUGCACUUUGUUCAUGCUUGUAGCAGAAGAAUUAAACCUUGUGAGUUCUUUGAACACCACAGGGAGUCCAGAGGCUAUCUCCCAAGGCAGCAAAGCUCCGAGGAUGGAUUCCUGGCUGGAAAAGACAUGGGCACUGAUCAUGAUACUCUGGCUGACCCUUUCUUAAAAGGGCACAUGUGAUGAAGAUAUGGUUUCUGGUGCUUGGGCAGAUUCCUCUAAAUGGCAGAGUAAAAGUUAACGGACUAAACUCCUAUAAAGUUGUAAUAGCAAAUUCAUUGUAUUGCACAGGACUGCAUUUCAGCGUUUCAUGGAAGACUGUUCCCGAAGAAGGAUUUUCAGUGGCUUAAUGUCUGAGCACCUGGAUGGCAGCUCUGCAGGAUUAUUUAUUGUUUCCUACACUAGUGGUUAACCCGUCAACACCCCCUCAUCAGACAGAGGGACUCACGCUCGUCCGCAUUGGAAGUGAAAUUCUGUAGUCUCUGAUAUCAGUCUUGUGCGUUUUGUCUCCACUAUAACUGAGGAUGGAUUUCUCAGUGUAGAGCAUUUAAAGGGCAGGAAGAGAUUUCUUUCCAUGUCAUCUUUCUGGACCUAUCCAGAGAGAGCUUCUAGCACUCCUUGCCUCAACCUGCUACACUCCCUCUUUAAAGAAAGAUUCCACAGUGCUUCUCUCCUGUGGCCAUUCUGUCCUCUGCAUUGUCUUCUACCAUGUUCUGUUCUACCACCUACUCUCUCUGGGUUGCUUUAAGGGUGUUGGAAGCUCUUAUCUAAUCCCAAGCAGUGGGAGGUAGAAUUCUGUAAACAGGGUUUUGCAGCUUUUGUAGCUUUAGGAUUCAUACUGCAGGUCAGUUUGGGGAAUUGGAAAGAGAGACCUUCUAGGGAUUAGCUCCUAGAUACACCUCUACCCCGAUAUAACGCGACCCGAUAUAACACGAAUUCGGAUAUAACGCGGUAAAGCAGUGCUCCGGGGAGGGGGUGGGGGGUGGG